GUCCUUUAGAUAUUAAUUUAAGGUCUAACCUGCCCACUGAAUUAUUUUAAAUGGCCGCAGUAAUUUGACUGUGCAAAGGUAGCAUAAUCAUUAGUUUUUUAAUUAAAAGCUUGUAUGAAAGGUUGGACGAAGUAAAAUCUGUCUCUAAUUAAAUUAAUUUAGAAUUUAACUUUUAAGUUAAAAGGCUUAAAUUUAACUAAAAGACGAGAAGACCCUAUAGAUCUUUAUAUCUUAAUUUAUAAAUUUAAUUAAGAAUUUUUAAAAUUUUAUUAAUUUAGUUAUUUUAUUGGGGUAAUAUAAAGAUUAAAAUAAUUCUUUUUUUUUAUUAACAUUAAUUUAUGAUUUUAAUGAUCCAAUUAUAUUGAUUUUAAGAUUAAGUUACCUUAGGGAUAACAGCGUAAUUUUUUUAGAGAGUUCUUAUCGAUAAAAAAGUUUGCGACCUCGAUGUUGGAUUAAAGAUUAUUUUAGGUGUAGAAGCUUAAAAAUUUUGGUCUGUUCGACCAUUAAAUCUUUACAUGAUCUGAGUUCAGACCGGUGUAAGCCAGGUCGGUUUCUAUCUUUAGUAAAUUAAAAUAUUUUAGUACGAAAGGACCAAUUAUUUAAUAUAAAUAUUUAAAUUUUGAUUAUUAUUAA
RNAcentral lists this ribosomal RNA (633 nucleotides) under Nebria altaica. RNAcentral's name for it is "partial large subunit ribosomal RNA". It matches the Rfam family "Bacterial large subunit ribosomal RNA", at positions 1829 to 2736 of the family's 2925-position model. The record is from RNAcentral. Lineage: Eukaryota; Metazoa; Arthropoda; Insecta; Coleoptera; Carabidae.